This 272-nucleotide long non-coding RNA is filed under the name Brassica napus (rape). RNAcentral's name for it is "long non-coding RNA (BNAP_LNC016440)". Lineage: Eukaryota; Viridiplantae; Streptophyta; Magnoliopsida; Brassicales; Brassicaceae. The record is from RNAcentral.
GAGAGAGAGAGAGAAUAAAAAAGUAAAAGAAGAAGAAUUAAAACACUAGAAAAGCUUUCAAAGAGUUGUAGUCGAAUGCAUAGCCAUUUACCGAUAGACUUUGAAAAGGACUCUCUUUUUAUUUUAUUUUCAUUAAACAAAAACAGGGGAGACAGAAACCGAGAUAUGUCUUAAAUGGAAUAUUCAAAAGAAAAAAAAAUCGAAUUGGUCAAAAUAAAUAAUUUCAUUUUUUAUAUUAUAUAAUAAAUAUAUAUUAUUUAUUGAUAAUAAAA